AGCUUUCUGAAUCUGUGCAGAGAUUACGUCAGACACCAACCCAUUAGGAUUGAUUAGACUUCCAAGGUAAGUGAAGUU
This 78-nucleotide microRNA precursor is filed under the name Schistosoma mansoni. RNAcentral describes it as "mir-3492 microRNA precursor family". It matches the Rfam family "mir-3492 microRNA precursor family". Lineage: Eukaryota; Metazoa; Platyhelminthes; Trematoda; Strigeidida; Schistosomatidae. The record is from Rfam by way of RNAcentral.